AUCUACAGUGAUUUUCCGGCAAAAAAAAAAAAACAGUUUUUCUUCAUCUGUUUCAGCAAAUUUUCAACGAUGUCUUUGGGAAUCGACGCUUUCGGGUCUAGAAACCUGGGUUCGAUGUUAAACUACAUAUGUAACAAGCUCGGUACAUAUGAUUUAUAUGCACCAGCUUGAGGGGGAGUGUUAGAUAUGUAAAUAUAGUAGAACUCUAGUUAUACUAGAACUCUAGGUUAUUAGUAUUAUAUAUAUGGCUCAUUGUAUUAUGUUUAAUCUCAGUUAUAUUCUCC
RNAcentral lists this long non-coding RNA (284 nucleotides) under Nicotiana benthamiana. RNAcentral describes it as "long non-coding RNA (NBEN_LNC008685)". The record is from RNAcentral. Lineage: Eukaryota; Viridiplantae; Streptophyta; Magnoliopsida; Solanales; Solanaceae.